RNAcentral lists this ribosomal RNA (253 nucleotides) under uncultured bacterium. RNAcentral describes it as "partial 16S ribosomal RNA". It matches the Rfam family "Bacterial small subunit ribosomal RNA", at positions 524 to 776 of the family's 1533-position model. The record is from RNAcentral.
UACGGGGGGAGCAAGCGUUGUUCGGAAUUACUGGGCGUAAAGGGCGCGUAGGCGGCCGCCUAAGUCAGACGUGAAAUCCCUCGGCUCAACCGGGGAACUGCGUCUGAUACUGGGUGGCUUGAAUCCGGGAGAGGGAUGCGGAAUUCCAGGUGUAGCGGUGAAAUGCGUAGAUAUCUGGAGGAACACCGGUGGCGAAGGCGGCAUCCUGGACCGGUAUUGACGCUGAGGCGCGAAAGCCAGGGGAGCAAACGGG